AGAAAGCAAUAAAUCCACCGCUGCAAAAUUCCUACUUUCCAGCCUCGCAUCAUCAUCCUUGCGAUGCUGCUUCAGCAUCUUCUUCUCAUACCGUCUCAUCCCCGCCUUUGCCCUCUCCACGCUACAACGCGAGCAAUACCACUUCCCCUUGGGUAUCCAAGUACGCCGAGGUGUUAUGCAGUACAGAUGAUAAGCCUCGUCGCAGCCGUCGCACAGAAUGGUCAGGUCGUCAUCUCUGUCAGAUAGACAAACCCGACAAAGGCAUGAUGGACAGUACCAGCACGGUUUGUCCCGCUGCAUAUCGCUAGCAAUCUGUUUAGACUUCAGACAGCAAAUGUGGUAGUACUUGUAUGGACAGUGGCUGUGACCACAUAUGAGGAAUCUCUUGGCAUCCUCUUCAGGAGUUCCACAUAUCUUGCAUGAACCACCGGGGUCAAUGUUCGACAGUUCCCGACCCUCAGUACUGGAAAGCACAGUUGCUCUUGACUUACCAACAGGUGGUACUGCGGCAGCCUUUGCAAUACCAGCUUCCCGUCGACGUGGAU
Molecule: ribosomal RNA, 545 nt
Filed under: Triticum aestivum (bread wheat)
Lineage: Eukaryota; Viridiplantae; Streptophyta; Magnoliopsida; Poales; Poaceae
Description: partial small subunit ribosomal RNA
Source: RNAcentral